GAUGAAGAACGCAGCGAAAUGCGAAAAGUAGUGUGAAUUGCAGAAUUCAGUGAAUCAUCGAAUCUUUGAACGCACAUUGCGCCCAUUAGUAUUCUAGUGGGCAUGCCUGUUCGAGCGUCAUUAAGUCCACUUAAGCCCUGCUUAGUGUUGGGAGACUGCUCCAGCGGUGCUACCCUGUAGCUACCCUGCAGCUCCUCAAAGACAGCGGCGGAGUUGUGGUAUCCUCUGAGCUUAGUAACUUGUUCUAGCUUUCGAGUACACCACUUCCCCUGCCGUAAAACCCUUAAUUUUUAAUGGUUGACCUCGGAUCAGGUAGGAAUACCCGCUGAACUUAAGCAUAUCAAUAAGCGGAGGA
Molecule: unclassified non-coding RNA, 355 nt
Filed under: soil metagenome
Description: partial contains 5.8S ribosomal RNA, internal transcribed spacer 2, and large subunit ribosomal RNA
Rfam family: 5.8S ribosomal RNA (bases 1-120)
Source: RNAcentral